Molecule: transfer RNA, 77 nt
Filed under: Pseudomonadales bacterium
Lineage: Bacteria; Pseudomonadati; Pseudomonadota; Gammaproteobacteria; Pseudomonadales
Description: tRNA-Arg
Rfam family: tRNA
About the family: Transfer RNA (tRNA) molecules are approximately 80 nucleotides in length.
Source: RNAcentral
GUCCCCGUGGCACAACUGGAUAGCGCAGCCCCCUCCUAAGGGGCAGGUUGCAGGUUCGACCCCUGCCGGGGACACCA